CCUGCUUCUGCUUCCCAAGUGCUAGGCUACAGGUGUGCACUGACAUGCCUGGUUGUUCUUUGCAAUUACUCAGCAAUCCAUGAAGACAUGAGUUAAUCUUGGGACUAGGAAAAUUAUCUUCUAAAUUUGUAUCUAAGCUUUGCCAGCUUCAUUAUUCCUUCAUGGUUAUCUUUCAGUUAAUACCGCCUGUAGGACUUUUAUUUCCAUUUUUCAUGAUUUACUACUGCCAUCCUUGAAUUUUCUUCCUCAAUAGGUUGCAGAUUUAGCCAGUGAGAGUAAGGUAGCGCCUGUGGCUUGGUGCCUGCCUUUUUCAUAUUUUGUGAGUGUUUAUGUAGCUGCUGGGAGGUAAAAAGCAUUCUGUUUUUUAUCUUUUGUCUUUUUUGUCUCACUUCUGGGAACAUCUUUUCCUCACUGUAUCCUCAUUCUUUUAGUGGCAAAUGUCACUGGAUGUCAGUAUCUUGAGUGCUAGGUGUAAUUGUUGCUAUUGGUAACUUCCUUUAUAGGUCCUUGCAAGGGCUAGUCCCAGGAACAGAUGCACAUACAUGCACAUUACAUGAACCCAUGUAAUCAUGGGAUCACUUUUCUCUGUUUGCUGGUAGUUACUUUAAUGAAGUGUCCCACCAGCAUCUUUACCUAGUGUCGGUUAAACUUUAACUUAUUGCCAACCUGAUGGGUGAGAAAUCGUUUGGCAUUGCCUAUACCCUGGCGUAAAUAAACCUGAACAUCUUUAUUCUUUGUCUAAGUGAUCAUAUUUAUUUUAUGAUUUUCAGUUUUGUGAGUUGUUUGUAUCUUGCUUGCUAGUAUUAUCACUACCACUAUAUUGUCAAGUCAGAGUCUCAUCCUUUAGCCCAGGUUAGCUUGGAACUCAAAUUCAUAGUGAACCUCCCAAGUACUGAAGCCUUCCAAGUGCUGGGCUUACAGAUGUGAGCUACCCUGCAUCCACUCUUGUGUCUCCUUUUAACCAAAACGUUUGAGUUUCCACCUUCUGAUUUUAGCUUCUUUUUCCAAAUGAUACCUUCUGUUCUAACAAGAUUGACUGUGGAAACACCUUUGCCAUUUUUGUCUGGUGGUGGUUUCUUCUUCUUCUUCUUCUUCUUCUUCUUCUUCUUCUUCUUCUUCUUCUUCUUCUUCUUCUUCUUCUUCUUCUUAUUCUUCUUAUUCUUCUUAUUCUUCUUAUUCUUCUUAUUCUUAUUCUUAUUAAUUUAAGGUGGGGACAGGAGCCAGCUUUGUUUGCCCAGGCUGAUUUAGAAAUCCUAAGAUCAAGGUGUCCUUCUGCCUUUGCAUCCCAGUAGCUGGGAUGACAAAUAUGCACUACUAUUCCUGGUUAAUGUUUAUUACAUUUUAACAUGAGAUCUGACUAGGUGUGAGGGAGACCAGUGACAAAGGCAGCUGGGAAAUUAGAGGAAACUGUGUUCCCUGUUUGAUGAUGUCAGAAAUCAGAUGAAAGCUGAAAGCCCUUUAUCUCAAUUAAGCAUACUUGACCUUUUCCAAAUCUGCCUCUUUGAUCUCCCCUCCCACUCCUCAAAUUGUUUAGCACAGUUAACAGAGGGGAGUGUGGCACAAAGGCUGGUUGAGGGAUUGCCCAUGCCUUCCCUCUUAUCUGCCUUUCUGUGUGCAGUAUUGAAACUUGUCUGCAUGCGUCUUUGACAGCAACGAGACUCCUGUUACUCCUGCCAUGUACUGAGUUCUCUUUGGACCCUUUCUGCAUAUUACCUGUUUCAGUGAGGCCUUUGUCCGUAGGACACGUAUAGCUACACUGGGUGGGAAGCUGACCUGAGGAAUUUGGGGGCUUGAUGAUCUAUCUGUGUGAGAUAGAUAGUUAGGGGGAGUGGUGGACUGGUCUGCCUUUGCUUGUCUGUAAUUCCAUGUCUUUCUUUCAGAAUACUAGCAAUGAGAAAUUCCAAAUUCCAAAGUUUCUUGAUCUCGAAGAAUCAAGAUAUUUUACAUUUUUAUGGAAAGCAUAAACUUUACUGUCCUUUAAAGAUAAAUCGUCCCACCCAAUAACUUGAUGUUCUUUAAGCAUGGUGUUAAGCAUUUUGGGGGUAUUGGUCAGUAUUCUAUGAAAAGGGAAGUCAGUUUGUGAACAGGUAUAUUUGGAAAAAUGCUAACUUGUGCACCUUCUUUCUUUGCUGUAGGGCUUCUCAGAAUUAGUCUCUCUGUUGCCCUCCCAUCCCCACCAUGUGUGUGGUGGUGGUGGUGAUGGUGGUGAUGGUGGAGGUGGUGGUGGUUGUGGUGCUGGUGAUGGAGUUGGUGAUGGAGAUGCUGGUGGUGAUGGUGCUGAUGGUGCUGAUGGUGCUGGUGGUGGAGGUGAUGAUGGUGAUGGUGGUGGAGGUGAUGAUGGUGCUGGUGGUGGAGGUGAUGAUGGUGAUGAUGGUGAUGGUGGAGGUGAUGAUGGUGGUGGUGGAGGUGAUGAUGGUGAUGGUGGUGGAGGUGAUGAUGGUGAUGGUGAUGGUGGUGGAGGUGAUGAUGGUGAUGGUGAUGGUGGUGGAGGUGAUGAUGGUGAUGGUGGAGGUGAUGAUGGUGAUGGUGGAGGUGAUGAUGGCGAUGGUUGUGGAGGUAGAGACCACACCUGGCAAAUGCUAGGUAAGUAGUACAGCACUGAGCUCCAUCUUUGUCUGUUGGUUUUGGGAGACAGGGCUUUCCCAUUUGGUCGGGCUGGCCUUGAUCUCACUUUGUUGCCCAGGAAAGCAUAGAACUUACAAUCUAGUGUCUUUUCUUCCUGAGUGUUGGGAUUACAAAUGGGUAUCGAUGUGUUUACUUGAAUUUCUCAAAUUUGUUUGUGAGGAACAAAAAUCUGUUCUUGCUCCUGCACUAAGGAUAUUCACCCUUUGGUUUGUAAAGGCAAACUUAUCAAGGUGAUGGCACUGUAGAUAGUGCUGGGACUCCUUAUGUCCCUCUAAUUUAUUAUCUUCUCUUAAAUUCUUCCCCAGUUAAGCUCUCUGCAGGCAGGUUAUCUGUUUUAUGCAUUAGUGGGUACCCGUACACCCCAGUGCCUGGUUCAUAACAGUGGUGAGUGUUCCUGAGUGUGAAACUGCCAGCCUUGAUUUAGUUUGUUGAAAUAUUUGUGCUUUGAUUCUGCCUCCUAAAUGUAGAUGUUUUAAACAACAGACUCUUAGCUUUAGUAUAAAAAAAAUCAAUAAACAUAUUUACUCAGAAUUGUAUAUAUUACUUCCUGGUCUCCCUAAAGUUGUAAGGCUUAAUUGUGAAUCAUUAAAUGUGCUUUAACUAUCAUUCUUCACCACCCAGACCAGGCACACACAAAUAGACAUAUUUGACUUUCAUUCAUUUUGCC
This 3292-nucleotide long non-coding RNA is filed under the name Cricetulus griseus (Chinese hamster). RNAcentral's name for it is "lncRNA (ENSCGRG00015029760.1)". Lineage: Eukaryota; Metazoa; Chordata; Mammalia; Rodentia; Cricetidae. The record is from RNAcentral.